CAGGGGGAAGUCUCGGAUCAUUGACAACUAAAUAGGAGCAGCAACGUCCAAUUAAAGGGCCCUGAUCACGAAACACAGUAACAAAAUGAAUCUGGAGAGUUUGAUCCUGGCUCAGAACGAACGCUGGCGGCGUGCCUAACACAUGCAAGUCCAACGUGAAAGGGGAGCAAUCCCCCGGUAGGGUGGCAAACGGGUGAGUAAUACAUGGGUGAUCUACCUUAGGGAUGGGGAUAUCCUUCCGAAAGGAGGGGCAAUACCGAAUAUUGUCCGGAGCCGUGAAGGGUUCCGGGGAAAGGGAGGCCUCUGAUACAAGCUUUCGCCUUAAGAUGAGCCCAUGGCCCAUCAGCUAGUUGGU
This 355-nucleotide ribosomal RNA is filed under the name uncultured bacterium. RNAcentral's name for it is "partial 16S ribosomal RNA". The stretch from base 89 to 355 matches the Rfam family "Bacterial small subunit ribosomal RNA", at positions 1 to 253 of the family's 1533-position model. The record is from RNAcentral.